Hordeum vulgare subsp. vulgare (domesticated barley) is the source of this 139-nucleotide small nucleolar RNA. RefSeq annotates it as small nucleolar RNA Z247. The record is from RefSeq and is a predicted model, not a curated record. NCBI's taxonomy places the organism in Eukaryota, Viridiplantae, Streptophyta, Magnoliopsida, Poales, Poaceae. The transcript has a single exon.
CCGAUCGGGGAGGAUGAACUCAUCUCCUUCAUCGUCGCCGGGCUUGAUAUGGAGUAUCAGCCCAUCAUCUCUGCACUUUACGUCCGCACCGAGCCCAUCACCGUCGGCGCGCUCUUCUCUAUGGUGGCAAACUUCGAUC